UACGGGGGGGGCAAGCGUUGUUCGGAAUUACUGGGCGUAAAGGGCUCGUAGGCGGCCAACUAAGUCGGAUGUGAAAUCCCCAGGCUCAACCUGGGAACUGCAUCCGAUACUGGAUGGCUUGAAUUCGGGAGAGGGAUGCAGAAUUCCAGGUGUAGCGGUGAAAUGCGUAGAUAUCUGGAGGAAUACCGGUGGCGAAGGCGGCAUCCUGGACCGACAUUGACGCUGAGGCGCGAAAGCCAGGGGAGCAAACGGG
RNAcentral lists this ribosomal RNA (253 nucleotides) under uncultured bacterium. Its description in RNAcentral is "partial 16S ribosomal RNA". It matches the Rfam family "Bacterial small subunit ribosomal RNA", at positions 524 to 776 of the family's 1533-position model. The record is from RNAcentral.